UCCCCGGUGGCGCAGUUGGUUAGCGCGUUACUCUUUCUUAACUAAUGGUCGGAGGUUCGAAUCCUUCCCGGGGAA
This is a non-coding RNA of Frankliniella occidentalis (western flower thrips), 75 nucleotides long. Lineage: Eukaryota; Metazoa; Arthropoda; Insecta; Thysanoptera; Thripidae. The record is from the annotation of a RefSeq genome assembly.